GGCGGGGAAAGCUGGGCGCGCGAGCCGAGGCUGCUGCUCACCUGCAGCCGCGCCGCUCACCUGCCGCGGAGUGCGCGCCCCGCGCCCUCCCGGCCCGCUCCGGAGCCCGGCCGCCCCCCCCUUGCCACAGCGGGCAACUGCGCCGACAUGCGACACGAGUAGCCCACGCGCUUCGGAACCACCGGAGGAGCCCCCUCGGCCUGGGCGAGCCAAGAGGACAGGGGUUAAAAUGAAUGAAGACCUGAAGGUCAAUUUAAGCGGGCUGCCUCGGGAUUAUUUAGAUGCCGCUGCUGCGGAGAACAUCUCGGCUGCCGUCUCCUCCCGGGUUCCUGCCGUAGAGCCAGAGCCUGAGCUCGUAGUCAACCCCUGGGACAUUGUCUUGUGUACCUCGGGAACCCUCAUCUCCUGUGAAAAUGCCAUUGUGGUCCUUAUCAUCUUCCACAACCCCAGCCUGCGAGCACCCAUGUUCCUGCUGAUAGGCAGCCUGGCUCUUGCAGACCUGCUGGCCGGCAUUGGACUCAUCACCAAUUUUGUUUUUGCCUACCUGCUUCAGUCAGAAGCCACCAAGCUGGUCACGAUCGGCCUCAUUGUCGCCUCUUUCUCUGCCUCUGUCUGCAGCUUGCUGGCUAUCACUGUUGACCGCUACCUCUCACUGUACUACGCUCUGACGUACCAUUCGGAGAGGACGGUCACGUUUACCUAUGUCAUGCUCGUCAUGCUCUGGGGGACCUCCAUCUGCCUGGGGCUGCUGCCCGUCAUGGGCUGGAACUGCCUCCGAGACGAGUCCACCUGCAGCGUGGUCAGACCGCUCACCAAGAACAACGCGGCCAUCCUCUCGGUGUCCUUCCUCUUCAUGUUUGCGCUCAUGCUUCAGCUCUACAUCCAGAUCUGUAAGAUUGUGAUGAGGCACGCCCAUCAGAUAGCCCUGCAGCACCACUUCCUGGCCACGUCGCACUAUGUGACCACCCGGAAAGGGGUCUCCACCCUGGCUAUCAUCCUGGGGACGUUUGCUGCUUGCUGGAUGCCUUUCACCCUCUAUUCCUUGAUAGCAGAUUACACCUACCCCUCCAUCUAUACCUACGCCACCCUCCUGCCCGCCACCUACAAUUCCAUCAUCAACCCUGUCAUAUAUGCUUUCAGAAACCAAGAGAUCCAGAAAGCGCUCUGUCUCAUUUGCUGCGGCUGCAUCCCGUCCAGUCUCGCCCAGAGAGCGCGCUCGCCCAGUGAUGUGUAGCACCCUUGCACCCAGGAGGACUCUGCAUUUACCAAGCACUUCCACUGCCUGGCCAAGAUGUGAUGCCCAGGGUGGUCUCAAGACCAUUCUGGGAGCCUGCAUGCUGAUGCCUUCUCUCCAGAGCCUCUUCUAAUGCAGCACACGUGUGAAAAAAUCCUCUACUUGAAUCUGUGUCUCCUCCCUGAGGUUACUUAUGGAAGCAGGAGAGGGACUGAAAUACUUAAGAAGUGGGAAAGAAUUUUCAAUACAUAUCACUGUAUGAUCAAUCUAAUAAAACUGAUGCCUUUAAAACAUUUCUUUUGAACAUUUGAUGGAGUUAGUAGGUUGAACAUGAUGAGUCUGUUCGUUUUUAAUUAAUUAGAAUUGAAUAGCAUCACCGUAGGAGACUUGACAAAGGUAAGUUGGUUUUGAGAGGGGCUAGGAAAUAUCCAUAAUGAGGUUUUAAAGGAAUAAAUGAUGAUUUUAUAAAAAUAGUGGCUCCAUUUGCAUAUCUCCAAUAGUCAGAAUUAUAAUGAGAAUAAUAUGUACUUGUUGUGACCACGUGUGUGCCAGGCCCCAUGCUGCGUGUUUUACUAUAAUCACAAAACUACUACUUUUAUAGGUGAGAAAACUAAGACUAAGAGAGGCGGGGAUAAAAAAUGUGCCCGAGGCCACAAAGCACAAGGAUAGAGUCAGAAUUUGAAGCCACGUUUUCCAAAGUCUAAGUCUUGCUCCUUCCCUGUACCUUGCAAGCUUUCAUCCCUCAGUGGAUACCAGGGCUGAGGAAACUGAUUUGUAACAUGUUCCUGUCACAGAGUUUUGGCUCUACAUUUAAGACAUAAAACUUGGCCUGGCGCAGUGGCUCACGCCUGUAAUCCCAGCACUUUGGGGGGCCAAGGCAGGUGGAUCACCUGAGGUCAGGAGUUUGAAACCAGCCUGACCAAUAUGGCAAAACCCCGUCUCUACUAAAAAUAAAAUUUAGCCGGGCGUGGUGGCGGGUGCCUGUAAUCCCAGCUACUCAGGAGGCUGAGGCAGGAGAACCGCUUGAAGACAGGAGGCGGAGGUAGCAGUGAACAAAGAUCGCACCACUGCACUCCAGCCUGGGUGACAGAGCAAGACUCCGUCUCAAAAAAAAAAAAAGACAUAAAAUUUCCUGUUUAAAACUACACUAGUUACGUGGUUGCUUUUGGCCCAUGUUUUUAAAACAUAUAGUUUCAGCUAAGAGAUUUUUCAGUUCAACUAACAACAUGCCCUUACCGUUUAAAUUGUGAAAAAUGUUGGAUAUUUAUGUGGUUUUCUACAAGGUUUCUUUUUUCCCGUGGAGCUAAUUAUUUUUAAAUGUGCACACAUCUCAAUGUACAUAUGUGUAUGUAUGUAUUUAUGCAUAUGUAUACCCAAUAAUAUUAACUUUGCAACAGGACCAAAGACCUCAUGGAAAACUGUCUUAUUUCCAACAGUCCUGAGGUAGCAGGUAAUCUUUUACUCCACAUAAUUAAAAUUUCUAGCUACCAAGGAAUUGAUAUUUUUCCAGUAGAAACAGUUAUCCUUGUAACUAGGACAGUUCCAUUACUUUACCAGAAUCCUGAAUUAGUCAAAACUAGUCAUCGAAGUUAUGACUAUCUGGGGUUUUGUUUCCUUUUAUUCCUUUAACUCUGUAUUUCUUUCUAUCAGUGAAGUUUGUUUUUAAAGGUACCUGGGGCGGGGAAGCAGGGUGGAGGUAGAGCCCCUCCUUGCCUGGAGCCUACAGUAAGGAGCCAGGUUCAGGAGGAGUGGAUUCCUUGGUUGACUUGGCCAUGCAGAAAUAGUCUUAGACUCCCCCAGGAUUUAAAAUAGGAUUGAAACAAGAAGUUUCAAAGAGCAGAUGAGGAAUAGAGAUACUUAGUGCCAAUAAAAGUGUCGUGGAGACUUCUUCGGCUUUUUAAAAAAAAUGCUUAAUCCAUUAUUAAAAUAAUGAUUGACUUUAUUUUAUAGUAAUAUAUGAUAAUAUGAAGUUAGGAUGACUUGCCAUUUCAGAUUUAAAAUACAUAUUAAUUAAGUGACUACUAUGUUGUGAUUUUGAAUAAUGUUUAAGUUUCUAUAUUGAUUGUAUGCCUGGUAUAAUAAAGGAAAAGACUGCCUUAUUGUCCCCUUUAAAAUUUGUCAUAAUUAUUGAAUGUUUCGAUAUAUGGUUAGGACUUCUGUUUAGAAUUCUAAGAAUCACAAACUAAUAGGUUUAUACAUCACGGCUUGAAUUCACAGACAAAUCUGUCUUCUAAAAAAAUUACAGGCCGGGCGCAGUGGCUCAUGCCUGUAAUCCCAGCAUUUUGGGAGGCCGAGGUGGGCAGAUCACGAGGUCAGGAGAUCAAGACCAUCCUGGCUAACAUGGUGAAACCCCGUCUCUACUAAAAAUACAAAAAAUUAGCCGGGUGUGGUGGCGGGGGCCUGUAGUCCCAGCUACUCAGGAGGGUGAGGCAGGAGAAUGGCGUGAACCUGGGAGGCGGAGCUUGCAGUGAGCCGAGAUUGUGCCACUGCACUCCAGCCUGGGGGACACAGCAAGACUCCAUCUCAAAAAAAAAAAAAAAAAUUACAGAAAAAAAUAUUGGUAAUUUUGGCUAGAGCUCCUCAAACUUUAACUAUUUGAAGAGUAUACAAAUCACCUGAGAAUCUUGUUAAAAUGCAAAUUCUGCUUCAGUCAGUCUGGGGCAUGGCUGAAUUUCCAACAAGCUCCCGUGAUGCUGAUGCUGACGGUCUACAGACAACACUGAUUCACAAUGAUACGUGUCACACUUUUAAUAUAACGUAUAAAUACAUAUAUAUAACAUAUAAAUAUAACAUAUAAAAAUAUAUAUUUGAAUAUAUAUAGCAUGUACCUAUAACGUAUAAAUAAUAUAUAUUUGAAGUGUUUACUUUUGUCAGAGGUUAAUAACUAGUCUGUAUUCAAUGGAGAUGAACUUUGAACUUUUCCUACAGCUUCUCAGGGUCUAAUAAAGACCCAUAAAUGUAUUUUUUCCAUGUUAAUGAACUAACUUUUUAAAAUCCUAAUGUUCAUUAUCUUAAUUUAGUUCUUUCAGAAGCUUUAUGUAGAUGCAAUGUGUUUCUCUAGGUGUGUGUAUGUAUACCUGACAACAAAGGUUUUCACCUCCACCUCAAGGACAGUUUUCUUUAGGACAUGAGUGGCUUAUGUCUGGGGGCUGCAUGUGUCUGCACGAAUUUAUCUUGAGAUGAUUGAGAUGAAAACCUUUGUUCUCUGAGUUCUAAAAUUCAACUGAACUUAUUCCAAAGCAACCUUUUCUAGACAGGUACAUCAGAGAAAUUUAAAAAUAGCUCACCUUCAUUUGACACUUAUCUGUAGCCUUUUAUUUUUCAGCAUCAAAAAUACUAUUAAUGUUAAUAGUUACCCUGGUCACAGGUACUCUGCUACCUUUCUGCCCAAGGAAGUGAGAACAUUUUUUAAUCCAAUAGAAGCAUGUUAAAGUACAUAGUUAAAGUAGAUUUUAAUAUAUAACUUAUAUAUGUCCACUGUGUAAGAUACUUACAGAAGACAUCUAGGAAUUUUUUAAUCAUAAAAAAUUCAAAUACUAACAUCAAGCAUAAGUGAACAAAUUUCAAUUGAAAAUAAGUUUGGGACAUAAAUAAAAACAUUUACUAGGGCACAGAUUCCCUUGGUAGUUGACUAUUUGAACAGACAGUUACCAACAGAAUAUUUUAAAAGGCAAAAGAGCAUCUUAUGGAAUUCUCUCUAUGGCUUGGAUUUGCAUUUCUCACCAAACAACAUAUUUUGAAUCUACGGGAUUCUUAUAUGGGUUGACGAAAAUACAAACCUUCCACAUAUGGAGAAAUGAAGGCCUGUCUUUUACAGAUAUAUGUGGUUACUGGGAUCAAACCUAAGGGAAAAUGUGUUCUGAUCCAACUAUAUCCUUACUCCUUCCUAGAUCCUUUUGAAGCAUGAACAAAUUUACUCUGGGAUUCUAUAGAGUCUAAUAAUUGGGAGAAAACAUAUGAAGUAGAAUUUUCUAUAUCAAAUCUAAAUCACCUAAGUCAAGAUCUCUUUGGAAACUGAAGUUGUAUACUUUUUUCUCAGUGCCUUGCAGUGUUUUGAUAUUGCAAAUCUUGAUCUUUCUUAUUAUAUUGUAAUUCUAUUUUUGUCUUGGCCAAGCCCCUGGAGGUACAGAGAACCCCUUAAUCCCAGCUCAACACUGAUAUAUUGAAAAUAUUCAUUAAACAAUAUUGUUCUCUUCUUCUUCAAAUAAAACUCUAAAUUAUUUAUGUCAUAUGUUUCUGAUUUUAUUUUAUAUCCUUUUGAUCAUUUUCCU
This is an RNA transcript of Pan troglodytes (chimpanzee), 5505 nucleotides long. It is a transcript of the gene named G protein-coupled receptor 12, with no coding region annotated. The transcript has 3 exons. NCBI's taxonomy places the organism in Eukaryota, Metazoa, Chordata, Mammalia, Primates, Hominidae. The record is from RefSeq and is a predicted model, not a curated record.